UCCAGUACAAUGGAUAUACUCUUUUUUUUUUUUUUUUUUUUUGAGACAGAAUUUUACUCUUGUUGCCCAGGCUGGAGGCACGAUCUCAGCUCACUGCAACCUCCGCCUCCUGGCUUCAAGCAAUUCUCCUGCCUUAGCCCCCCAGGUAGCUGGGAUUAUAGGCAUACACCACCACGCCCAGCUAAAUUUGUAUUUUUAGUAGAGACAGGGUGUCUCCACGUUGGUCAGGCUGGUCUCGAACUCCUGGACCUGAGGUGAUCCACCCACCUCAGCCUCCCAAUGUGCUGGGAUUACAGGGGUGAGCCACCGUGCCCGGUGUGUACUCUUAAGAAGAGGGAGAUGUGAGCACAGGCACAAGGGGAGCAGCAUGGGAUGACAGAGGCAGAGACUGCAGUGAAGCAGCCGCAAGCCAAAGGGUACAGGCUGACGGCCACUACCAGAUGCUAGGAAGAGGCAGGGUGACUCCUCCCCUUCAGGUCCCCCAGACACCUCAGUUAGAACCUCCUGUUCCCAGAACUGUGAGAAAAGAAAUUGUCGUUUUAAAUCUGCCCAGCUCCUGGCACUUUGUUAUGGCAGUCCGUUAGGAGACACCGUGAUUGGGGUGUUAAUUAAUCUGGGGGUACUUCAGGACCAUAGUAUCUUGCUUGUAGCUCUAUGAAAGUCUUUAGUGGAUAAAUUCACUCUAAAAAGCUGCCUACAAGCUAAAAUGGUAAUCAUAACAGUUUUAAAUUUAUAGGGAGAAUGACAAGAAUCAUAAAAAGAAGAUGGUGGUGCUGGGGAAGAAAUGUCAUCGUUGGUUAGGGUCCUGGACGUAGCAUUCUGACUGGCCAGCCUCACGAAGAAGGCACGCUGAAUGAAUGGUGGAUCCUUUUGUUGGGAGGGCCUUCCUUUUGAAAAUGACCUGUACCUGCAAACAUGUGUGAAAACAGGAAGAAGCUGGAGUGAACAGAUGACAGGAUGGCGCCCUGCAAGGACUCAGACGAGUCAAGUCACCCGUGCGAAUUACACAAGAGGUGUGACAAACAUCCUUUCCUCAAUCCCCUUCUCUCCAGCCCCGGGGACAGGGGUUCCGCUGAGAACAAUUACACAGGACAGCGGGCAGAAGUUCAGGAUGUUACUUCCCGCCUAGGUCGGACAGGAGUCAGAGUUCACACCUUUUACUAGUUUUACUUGUAUUCAUUAGAGGUCAUUACCUGUGCAUCUUAACCUCUUAAAUAUUAAGCAACUUAAUGAAAUAUUGAAUAUGUCAUUGAUAUAUUUGAGGCAGGAGAAUAGGGUCUCGGGGGCAGGGAACUUAAACGCUUCCUACAACGAAAUCAAAAAGUAAAUAACCUUGUAACUCUCCCGGGAAGCAUCCCCUGUACUUGCAAAGGGUGCACACCACGUAAACACCUUUGUAACUUCCCUUCAGCCUCUUCGUUUACGCAGGGCAUACACCAAGUUACCACUGGAAACCUCUACAGAGUGUUUAAACUCAAGAGCAUCCUGUAACCCGGCUUUCGAGCUGCUGGCUCCGGCCGCUUCCGCCCCGUGGGGUGUGCUUUCGAUUCCAAUAAAUCUCUCCUUUUGUUGCUUCA
Molecule: non-coding RNA, 1577 nt
Organism: Callithrix jacchus (white-tufted-ear marmoset)
Lineage: Eukaryota; Metazoa; Chordata; Mammalia; Primates; Cebidae
Source: RefSeq, a predicted model, not a curated record